Molecule: ribosomal RNA, 497 nt
Filed under: uncultured bacterium
Lineage: Bacteria
Description: partial 16S ribosomal RNA
Rfam family: Bacterial small subunit ribosomal RNA
Source: RNAcentral
GAUGAACGCUGGCGGCGUGCCUAAUACAUGCAAGUCGAGCGAACAGAUGAGGAGCUUGCUCCUCUGACGUUAGCGGCGAACGGGUGAGUAACACGUGGAUAACCUACCUGUAAGACUGGGAUAACUUCGGGAAACCGGAGCUAAUACCGGAUAAUAUAUUGAACCGCAUGGUUCAAUAGUGAAAGACGGUUUUGCUGUCACUUAUAGAUGGAUCCGCGCCGCAUUAGCUAGUUGGUAAGGUAACGGCUUACCAAGGCGACGAUGCGUAGCCGACCUGAGAGGGUGAUCGGCCACACUGGAACUGAGACACGGUCCAGACUCCUACGGGAGGCAGCAGUAGGGAAUCUUCCGCAAUGGGCGAAAGCCUGACGGAGCAACGCCGCGUGAGUGAUGAAGGUCUUCGGAUCGUAAAACUCUGUUAUUAGGGAAGAACAAAUGUGUAAGUAACUAUGCACGUCUUGACGGUACCUAAUCAGAAAGCCACGGCUAACUACGUG